GACGAACGCUGGCGGCGUGCUUAACACAUGCAAGUCGAACGGAAAGGCCCUGCUUUUGUGGGGUGCUCGAGUGGCGAACGGGUGAGUAACACGUGAGUAACCUGCCCUUGACUUUGGGAUAACGUCAGGAAACUGGGGCUAAUACCGGAUAGGAGCUCCUGCUGCAUGGUGGGGGUUGGAAAGUUUCGGCGGUUUGGGAUGGACUCGCGGCUUGUCAGCUUGUUGGUGGGGUAGUGGCUUACCAAGGCUUUGACGGGUAGCCGGUCUGAGAGGGUGACCGGACACCUUGGGUCUAGGAUUCGGCCCUGACUCCUAGGGGACGCAGCAGUGGGGAAUAUUGCACAAUGGGCGGAAGCCUGAUGUAGCAAGUCCGCGUGCUGGAUCACGGCCUUCGGGUUGUAAACCGCUUUCGCCUGGGACGAAGCGUGAGUGACGGUAAUGGGUAAAGAAGCACCGGCUAACUACGUG
RNAcentral lists this ribosomal RNA (468 nucleotides) under uncultured bacterium. RNAcentral describes it as "partial 16S ribosomal RNA". It matches the Rfam family "Bacterial small subunit ribosomal RNA", at positions 28 to 507 of the family's 1533-position model. The record is from RNAcentral.